This 403-nucleotide ribosomal RNA is filed under the name uncultured prokaryote. Its description in RNAcentral is "bacterial SSU rRNA". It matches the Rfam family "Bacterial small subunit ribosomal RNA", at positions 355 to 774 of the family's 1533-position model. The record is from RNAcentral.
UCGGGAAUAUUGCGCAAUGGAGGAAACUCUGACGCAGUGACGCCGCGUGCAGGAAGAAGGUUUUCGGAUUGUAAACUGCUUUAGACAGGGAAGAACAAAGACAGUACCUGUAGAAUAAGCUCCGGCUAACUACGUGCCAGCAGCCGCGGUAAUACGUAGGGAGCGAGUGUUAUCCGGAUUUAUUGGGUGUAAAGGGUGCGUAGACGGGAAGUCAAGUUAGUUGUGAAAUCCCUCGGCUUAACUGAGGAACUGCAACUAAAACUGAUUUUCUUGAGUACUGGAGAGGAAAGUGGAAUUCCUAGUGUAGCGGUGAAAUGCGUAGAUAUUAGGAGGAACACCGGUGGCGAAGGCGACUUUCUGGACAGAAACUGACGUUGAGGCACGAAAGUGUGGGGAGCAAACA